GUGCCAGCCGCCGCGGUAAAACGUAGGUGGCGAGCGUUAUCCGGAUUCACUGGGCGUAAAGCGAGUGCAGGUGGUUUUGUAAGUUGGAUGUGAAAUUUCCCGGCUUAACCGGGAAGGGUCAUUCAAUACUGCAGGACUUGAGGGCAAAAGAGGGGGGUGGAAUUGCCGGUGUAGUGGUGAAAUGCGUAGAUAUCGGCAGGAACACCUGUGGCGAAAGCGGCCCCCUGGUUUGCUCCUGACACUCAGACUCGAAAGCUAGGGUAGCGAACGGGAUUAGAAACCCCUGUAGUCC
Molecule: ribosomal RNA, 292 nt
Filed under: uncultured bacterium
Lineage: Bacteria
Description: partial 16S ribosomal RNA
Rfam family: Bacterial small subunit ribosomal RNA
Source: RNAcentral